GUCUAUGUAGUAUAUAAAUUACACUGGUCUUGUAAGCCAGAAAUGGGGACAAUACCUCCCCCAAAGACU
This 69-nucleotide transfer RNA is filed under the name Eptesicus fuscus (big brown bat). RNAcentral describes it as "tRNA-Thr". The record is from RNAcentral. Lineage: Eukaryota; Metazoa; Chordata; Mammalia; Chiroptera; Vespertilionidae.